CUGUAGUUAAAUUGUUACUUCAACUUUUAAACGAGAUUCCAGUUGCAUUUUCAGAAAAUUCUAACUAUGCUAUCUGUUUCAAACAGUUUGAAUCAUAUAAGAUUUGAGGAUUUUUGCAGGCACGCUUGUGUUUUCUAGUUUAGAUUGUAAAGGGGAGUCCUGUUUAUGAAUUCUUGCAAGUGGUCAAUCGUCAAUGUUAGGACAUUCACAUUUUCAUCAUAAGAAUAUUUUGAGAUUCUUAAUAUACUGCUCAACACUGCUAGAAUCUGUUCUGAAAUAUUAAUAUCUCAUACCAUAGGAGUUGACAUGCUUGCAGAUUUUAUCAGUGUUGUUAAAAGCACUAGGCACCCUUAAGGCAAGAAGG
This 364-nucleotide unclassified non-coding RNA is filed under the name Hevea brasiliensis (rubber tree). The record is from RNAcentral. Lineage: Eukaryota; Viridiplantae; Streptophyta; Magnoliopsida; Malpighiales; Euphorbiaceae.